CGGGAUGAUAGCGGGAUAGCGGCAGGU
This 27-nucleotide non-coding RNA is filed under the name Mus musculus (house mouse). The record is from RNAcentral. Lineage: Eukaryota; Metazoa; Chordata; Mammalia; Rodentia; Muridae.